Molecule: ribosomal RNA, 253 nt
Filed under: uncultured bacterium
Lineage: Bacteria
Description: partial 16S ribosomal RNA
Rfam family: Bacterial small subunit ribosomal RNA
Source: RNAcentral
UACGUAGGCAGCGAGCGUUGUUCGGAGUUACUGGGCGUAAAGAGUGCGUAGGCGGUUUUCUAAGUUUGGUGUGAAAUCUCCCGGCUUAACUGGGAGGGUGCGCCGAAGACUGGAAGGCUUGAGUAUGGGAGAGGUAAGCGGAAUUCCCGGUGUAGCGGUGAAAUGCGUAGAUAUCAGGAGGAACACCUGCGGUGUAGACGGCUUACUGGACCAUAACUGACGCUGAGGCACGAAAGCGUGGGUAGCAAACAGG